This 253-nucleotide ribosomal RNA is filed under the name uncultured bacterium. RNAcentral's name for it is "partial 16S ribosomal RNA". It matches the Rfam family "Bacterial small subunit ribosomal RNA", at positions 524 to 776 of the family's 1533-position model. The record is from RNAcentral.
UACGUAGGCAGCAAGCGUUGUUCGGAGUUACUGGGCGUAAAGAGUAUGUAGGCGGUUGGGUAAGUUUGGUGUGAAAUCUCCCGGCUUAACUGGGAGGGUGCGCUAAAGACUGCCUGGCUCGAGUGUGGGAGAGGAAAGCGGAAUUCCUGGUGUAGCGGUGAAAUGCGUAGAUAUCAGGAGGAACACCGGUGGCGAAGGCGGCGUCCUGGACCAACACUGACACUGAUGAGCGAAAGCCAGGGGAGCAAACGGG